Molecule: ribosomal RNA, 253 nt
Filed under: uncultured bacterium
Lineage: Bacteria
Description: partial 16S ribosomal RNA
Rfam family: Bacterial small subunit ribosomal RNA
Source: RNAcentral
UACGAAGGGGGCUAGCGUUGUUCGGAAUCACUGGGCGUAAAGGGCGCGUAGGCGGCUUUAUAAGUUGGGGGUGAAAGCCUGUGGCUCAACCACAGAAUUGCCUUCGAUACUGUAGAGCUUGAGACCGGAAGAGGUAAGUGGAACUGCGAGUGUAGAGGUGAAAUUCGUAGAUAUUCGCAAGAACACCAGUGGCGAAGGCGGCUUACUGGUCCGGUUCUGACGCUGAGGCGCGAAAGCGUGGGGAGCAAACAGG